This 959-nucleotide ribosomal RNA is filed under the name uncultured euryarchaeote. RNAcentral describes it as "bacterial SSU rRNA". It matches the Rfam family "Archaeal small subunit ribosomal RNA", at positions 416 to 1371 of the family's 1478-position model. Lineage: Archaea; Methanobacteriati; Methanobacteriota. The record is from RNAcentral.
AGUAUAAAUAGCUUUUAGAAUAAGGGCUGGGUAAGACCGGUGCCAGCCUCCGCGGUAAAAACCGGCAGCCCCGAGUGGUACUCGCUUUUAUUGGGCUUAAAGCGUCCGUAGUCGGUGAAGUCAGUUCUCUGUGAAAUCCACUCGACAACGUGUGGGCGUGCAGGGAAUACUACUUUGCUAGGAGUCGGGAAGGGUCAGGGGUAUCUGGAGGGUAGCGGUGAAAUGUUAUAAUCCUUCAGAGACCACCGGUGGCGAAGGCGCCUGACUAGAACGAGCUCGACGAUGAGGGACGAAAGCUAGGGUAGCGAACCGGAUUAGAUACCCGGGUAGUCCUAGCCGUAAACGAUGCGGACUAAGUGUUGCGAAAACCUCGUGUUUUUGCAGUGCUGAAGGGAAACUGUUAAGUCCGCCGCCUGGGGAGUACGGUCGCAAGGCUGAAACUUAAAGGAAUUGGCGGGGGAGCACCACAAGGCGUGGAGUCUGCGGUUUAAUUGGAUACAACGCCGGACAACUCACCAGGGGCGACGGCAGAAUGAUGGCCAGGUCGAAGAUCUUGCUUGACGAGCCGAGAGGUAGUGCAUGGCCGUCGUCAGCUCGUACCGUGAGGCGUGCGGUUAAGUCCGUUAACGAGCGAGACCCGUACCCUUAUUUGCCAAAGCUUCGGUUUACCGGGGCGAGCACUAUAAGGGGACCGCUGGCGAUGAGUCAGAGGAAGGCGCGGGCAACGGUAGGUCUGUAUGCUCCGAAUCUCCUGGGCUACACGUGGACUACAAUGGCGUAAACAACGGGUUGCAACACCGAAAGGUGAGAGCUAAUCCCUUAAAGUACGUCUAAGUUCGGAUCGAGGGUUGUAACUCACCCUCGUGAAGCUGAAAUGCCUAGUAAUCGCACGUCACCAUCGUGCGGUGAAUAUGUCCCCGCUCCUUGCACACACCGCCCGUCAAACCAACCGAGUGGAU